This 465-nucleotide ribosomal RNA is filed under the name Salmonella enterica subsp. enterica serovar Heidelberg. RNAcentral's name for it is "partial 23S ribosomal RNA". It matches the Rfam family "Bacterial large subunit ribosomal RNA", at positions 55 to 559 of the family's 2925-position model. The record is from RNAcentral. Lineage: Bacteria; Pseudomonadati; Pseudomonadota; Gammaproteobacteria; Enterobacterales; Enterobacteriaceae.
GACGUGCUAAUCUGCGAUAAGCGCCGGUAAGGUGAUAUGAACCGUUAUAACCGGCGAUUUCCGAAUGGGGAAACCCAGUGUGACUCGUCACACUAUCAUUAACUGAAUCCAUAGGUUAAUGAGGCGAACCGGGGGAACUGAAACAUCUAAGUACCCCGAGGAAAAGAAAUCAACCGAGAUUCCCCCAGUAGCGGCGAGCGAACGGGGAGGAGCCCAGAGCCUGAAUCAGCAUGUGUGUUAGUGGAAGCGUCUGGAAAGGCGCGCGAUACAGGGUGACAGCCCCGUACACAAAAGCGCAUGUGCUGUGAGCUCGAUGAGUAGGGCGGGACACGUGGUAUCCUGUCUGAAUAUGGGGGGACCAUCCUCCAAGGCUAAAUACUCCUGACUGACCGAUAGUGAACCAGUACCGUGAGGGAAAGGCGAAAAGAACCCCGGCGAGGGGAGUGAAAAAGAACCUGAAACCGU